RNAcentral lists this long non-coding RNA (357 nucleotides) under Brachypodium distachyon (stiff brome). RNAcentral describes it as "long non-coding RNA (BDIS_LNC002756)". Lineage: Eukaryota; Viridiplantae; Streptophyta; Magnoliopsida; Poales; Poaceae. The record is from RNAcentral.
GCAUCUCGUCGCUGGAGGCGGAGGCCAUCUUCUCCGGCGCCGGCGGGCAGUGGCGCGGCGGCGGCGGCCUCGACGACCGUGACCUCUCCGCCAUGCCGGCGGCGGCCAACACCUCGUCGGGCGGCUCCGGCUCUCCCGGCGGCGGCGGCAGGAAGAUGAGCCACAACGCGUACGAGCGCGACCGCCGCAAGCAGCUCAACGAGCUCUACUCCUCCCUCCGCUCCCUCCUCCCCGACGCCGACCACACAGUACGAAACCAAUCAAAUCAAAUUCAAACCAUGCCACCAUGGAUCUUUGAUCCUGAUGCAUCUCUGCUUGGAAUCCUGACGCAUCUGGUGAUGAUUUGACUAACUGCAG